CAGCUUGUUGGUGAGGUAACGGCUCACCAAGGCUUCGACGGGUAGCCGGCCUGAGAGGGCGACCGGCCACACUGGGACUGAGAUACGGCCCAGACUCCUACGGGAGGCAGCAGUGGGGAAUAUUGCACAAUGGGCGCAAGCCUGAUGCAGCAACGCCGCGUGCGGGAUGACGGCCUUCGGGUUGUAAACCGCUUUCAGUUCCGACGAAGCGCAAGUGACGGUAGGAACAGAAGAAGGACCGGCCAACUACGUGCCAGCAGCCGCGGUGAUACGUAGGGUCCGAGCGUUGUCCGGAAUUAUUGGGCGUAAAGGGCUUGUAGGCGGUUUGUCACGUCGAAAGUGAAAACUCAGGGCUUAACCCUGAGCCUGCUUCCGAUACGGGCAAACUAGAGGGAUGCAGGGGAGAAUGGAAUUCCUGGUGGAGCGGUGGAAUGCGCAGAUAUCAGGAGGAACACCGGUGGCGAAAGCGGUUCUCUGGGCAUUUCCUGACGCUGAGAAGCGAAAGCGUGGGGAGCAAACAGGCUUAGAUACCCUGGUAGUCCACGCCGUAACGGUGGGCACUAGGUGUGGGGAACAUUCC
RNAcentral lists this ribosomal RNA (580 nucleotides) under uncultured Actinomycetes bacterium. RNAcentral describes it as "SSU rRNA". It matches the Rfam family "Bacterial small subunit ribosomal RNA", at positions 242 to 835 of the family's 1533-position model. Lineage: Bacteria; Bacillati; Actinomycetota; Actinomycetes. The record is from RNAcentral.